This 75-nucleotide transfer RNA is filed under the name Streptomyces cacaoi. RNAcentral's name for it is "tRNA-Arg". Lineage: Bacteria; Bacillati; Actinomycetota; Actinomycetes; Kitasatosporales; Streptomycetaceae. The record is from RNAcentral.
ACGAGGUGGUGCGGCGGCACGAGUCGCUGCGGACGACGUUCGACGCGGUGGACGGUCGCGUCGUCCAGCACGUGC